RNAcentral lists this ribosomal RNA (600 nucleotides) under Russula sp. 15 KA-2019. RNAcentral's name for it is "partial large subunit ribosomal RNA". It matches the Rfam family "Eukaryotic large subunit ribosomal RNA", at positions 93 to 664 of the family's 3401-position model. The record is from RNAcentral. Lineage: Eukaryota; Fungi; Basidiomycota; Agaricomycetes; Russulales; Russulaceae.
GUGAAGCGGGAAAAGCUCAAAUUUAAAAUCUGGUGGUCUUUGGCCAUCCGAGUUGUAAUUUAGAGAAGCGUUUUCCGCGCUGGACCGUGCACAAGUCUCCUGGAAUGGAGCGUCAUAGAGGGUGAGAAUCCCGUCUUUGGCACGGACAUGCCAGGGCUUUUGUGAUGCGCUCUCGAAGAGUCGAGUUGUUUGGGAAUGCAGCUCAAAAUGGGUGGUGAACUCCAUCUAAAGCUAAAUAUUGGCGAGAGACCGAUAGCGAACAAGUACCGUGAGGGAAAGAUGAAAAGCACUUUGGAAAGAGAGUGAAACAGUACGUGAAAUUGUUGAAAGGGAAACGCUUGAAGUCAGUCACGUCGACCGAGACUCAGCCUCGCCUCGGCUUGGUGUACUUCUCGGCUGACGGGUCAGCAUCAAUUUUGCCCCUUGGAUAAUGGUGAGGGAAAUGUGACACCUUUACGGUGUGUUAUAGUCUCUUGUCGCAUGCAAGGGUCGGGAUUGAGGAACUCAGCACGCGCCUUUGGGUGUCGGGGCCUUUUGCCCACGAUACGUGCUUAGGAUGUUGGCAUAAUGGCUUUAAACGACCCGUCUUGAAAAACACGG